GCAGCCGCCGCGGUAAUACGGAGGAUGCGAGCGUUAUCCGGAUUUAUUGGGUUUAAAGGGUGCGUAGGCGGAUUGGUAAGUCAGUGGUGAAAUCCUGCAGCUUAACUGUAGAAUUGCCAUUGAUACUGUCAGUCUUGAGUACGGUCAAGGUAGGCGGAAUGUGUAAUGUAGCGGUGAAAUGCUUAGAUAUUACACAGAACACCAAUUGCGAAGGCAGCUUACUGGGCCACAACUGACGCUGAGGCACGAAAGCGUGGGGAGCGAACAGGAUUAGAUACCCUGGUAGUCCACGCCGUAAACGAUGAUCACUCGCUGUUGGCGAUACACAGUCAGCGGCUAAGCAAAAGCAUUAAGUGAUCCACCUGGGGAGUACGGCCGCAAGGCUGAAACUUAAAGGAAUUGGCGGGGGA
RNAcentral lists this ribosomal RNA (410 nucleotides) under uncultured bacterium. RNAcentral's name for it is "bacterial SSU rRNA". It matches the Rfam family "Bacterial small subunit ribosomal RNA", at positions 508 to 920 of the family's 1533-position model. The record is from RNAcentral.